This 255-nucleotide unclassified non-coding RNA is filed under the name Hevea brasiliensis (rubber tree). The record is from RNAcentral. Lineage: Eukaryota; Viridiplantae; Streptophyta; Magnoliopsida; Malpighiales; Euphorbiaceae.
GACAACCUCCAGUUCAGGACCGGAGCCGAUGAUUUCCAGACACGAUGCGUUCUGCCCGUUUCCCACUAGCGCAUUUGCCAGCGUGAAGCCGCUGCGGUCGAGGGCGCCGGAAACUGGCACCCCGACGUGCUGAAAGCCGCGCCGUCCUUCGUCCUGCACGGUGGUGUGAAAGCCGGGCGCGAUANNNNNNNNNNAGAAAUCACGCCGCAAGCUCCGUGCUGUCCGGAAUGUAGUCGUUGCGGUCCACAGCUUUGC